GCAUAUCAAUAAGCGGAGGAAAAGAAACCAACCGGGAUUGCCCCAGUAACGGCGAGUGAAGCGGCAAGAGCUCAAAUUUGAAAUCUGGCCCCUCCGGGGUCCGAGUUGUAAUUUGCAGAGGAUGCUUCGGGUGCGGCCCCUGUCUAAGUGCCCUGGAACGGGCCGUCAGAGAGGGUGAGAAUCCCGUCUUGGGCAGGGUGCCCGUGCCCGUGUGAAGCUCCUUCGACGAGUCGAGUUGUUUGGGAAUGCAGCUCUAAAUGGGUGGUAAAUUUCAUCUAAAGCUAAAUACCGGCCGGAGACCGAUAGCGCACAAGUAGAGUGAUCGAAAGAUGAAAAGCACUUUGAAAAGAGAGUUAAACAGCACGUGAAAUUGUUGAAAGGGAAGCGCUUGCGACCAGACUCGGCCUCGGGGUUCAGCCAGCAUUCGUGCUGGUGUACUUCCCCGGGGCCGGGCCAGCGUCGGUUCGGGCGGCCGGUCAAAGGCCCCAGGAAUGUAUCGUCCUCCGGGACGUCUUAUAGCCUGGGGUGCAAUGCGGCCAGCCUGGACCGAGGAACGCGCUUCGGCACGGACGCUGGCGUAAUGGUCACAAACGACCCGUCUUGAAACACGGACCAAGGAGUCUAACAUCUACGCGAGUGUUCGGGUGUCAAACCCGUACGCGCAGUGAAAGCGAACGGAGGUGGGAGCCCCUUUUGGGGCGCACCAUCGACCGAUCCUGAAGUCUUCGGAUGGAUUUGAGUACGAGCGUAGCUGUGGGGACCCGAAAGAUGGUGAACUAUGCCUGAAUAGGGUGAAGCCAGAGGAAACUCUGGUGGAGGCUCGCAGCGGUUCUGACGUGCAAAUCGAUCGUCAAAUUUGGGUAUAGGGGCGAAAGACUAAUCGAACCAUCUGGUAGCUGGUUCCUGCCGA
This 910-nucleotide ribosomal RNA is filed under the name Aspergillus versicolor. Its description in RNAcentral is "LSU rRNA". It matches the Rfam family "Eukaryotic large subunit ribosomal RNA", at positions 38 to 964 of the family's 3401-position model. Lineage: Eukaryota; Fungi; Ascomycota; Eurotiomycetes; Eurotiales; Aspergillaceae. The record is from RNAcentral.